Molecule: long non-coding RNA, 1235 nt
Organism: Corvus hawaiiensis (hawaiian crow)
Lineage: Eukaryota; Metazoa; Chordata; Aves; Passeriformes; Corvidae
Exons: 4
Source: RefSeq, a predicted model, not a curated record
UGCUGAUUCUAAACAUCAGUCUAGAAAAACAACGUGGCUCUUCUGGAUCGUUGUGUCUCACAUUUCUUCACCUCUUUGGAUCCGAUAUCAUCACAGUGGAAUUCUGCUGGCUGCUUCCAGGGAAAGGAAGGAAAACAUUCUCCACUCAGCUCCUCAUACCUUCUGGGAAGGGUGAUGAAUGGGCUGGUUCUGCCUAAGGGAGUGUGUUUAAGCACAAGUUUCUAGACUGUUCAACACUCUUCAACUGGAAGAGAAAUCACAUGCAGGUGCUGCGAGCCUACACAUGCUGCUAUGUGUUCAGAGAUCCAUUUGCAGCUACGGAAAGCCUGAAUAUGGAUUUAAUUUUGUGCAUUUUCCCUGGAUUUUUGCUCUAGCCAAAGCCUGGCCAUGGCACUGAGCAUGCUGUGCAGGAGAGGGAACUUUCACUUUUGGAUGUCAGAUCCCUGGUUGUGAAGGAUUCCUUUGGUUUUGUGAGUGUGUGGGGUUUGUUGCAUUACAGAGCUUGUUUAGGGAGAUAAUCCACUCAUCAGGCCAAGAACACCUUCUCUCCCUACCAGACAACAAAUUAGUUCUUCCCUUUCUGAGGGAGAUAAAAAGGGAUAUCCUAACCCAGGGGAACAGGGCUGUGGCAUGGGGCUGACAAGCUCAGAUACAAAAGGAGAAGAAGGAAAAAGAAAAACACAUUUGUUGAAGAAUGGCUGCAAAAUCUGAGUGAUUUACUGCAGCAGCUCAUUCAUCAGGGGAAUUUGGCCUUGCCUCACUCUAAUCUAAGUAGAAUCUAAUUUAGAUUCCAAGCAAGGGAUGGGAAUCCUUUCCUGAACCAAAACAAGCCUUGCCACCUCCUACCUUUUCAUUACUCAUUCCUUAAUUUGUUUGGGUUUGUUAUGUAGGACACUCAGGAAGAAUAGCUUAAAGCUCUGUGUGCUGGGCUAGAUCUGAUGUUAUAUUCUCUGCUUUGCUGCACAUGGGAUGGAUUUUUGAUUCAGUUUUGAUGCAGGCUUGGUUACAUGCCUCUGCCUGGGGCCCCCAGGAAGUGGGGUGUGAACAUUUUCCUUUUUUUUCCUGAGUGCUGACUUGCCUGGAGGAGAAAACUGCAGCCUUGGGCUCAAACCAUUUUUGGUUUUCCAUUAAAAACCAGCUCUGCUUAUGCAGAACCAUCAAUCAGAACCCUCAGGCAGAACCCUCCUGGAAGGAGGGACUGGAGGAUGGUUCUCUCUACCUUUGGGGUGUCCUGC